RNAcentral lists this ribosomal RNA (96 nucleotides) under Pseudo-nitzschia calliantha. RNAcentral's name for it is "partial 28S ribosomal RNA". It matches the Rfam family "Eukaryotic large subunit ribosomal RNA", at positions 1 to 89 of the family's 3401-position model. The record is from RNAcentral. Lineage: Eukaryota; Bacillariophyta; Bacillariophyceae; Bacillariales; Bacillariaceae.
CAAUUCCGGAUCUCAGAUCAAGUAAGAUUACCCGCCGAAUUUAAGCAUAUAACUAAGCGGAGGAAAAGAAACUAACUAGGAUUCCCUCAGNAACGG